Molecule: ribosomal RNA, 464 nt
Filed under: uncultured Desulfobacterium sp.
Lineage: Bacteria; Pseudomonadati; Thermodesulfobacteriota; Desulfobacteria; Desulfobacterales; Desulfobacteriaceae
Description: bacterial SSU rRNA
Rfam family: Bacterial small subunit ribosomal RNA
Source: RNAcentral
CCCGCACAAGCGGUGGAGCAUGUGGUUUAAUUCGACGCAACGCGAAGAACCUUACCUGGGCUUGACAUCUGCGGAAUUUCUAUGAAAGUAGGAAGUGCCCUUCGGGGAGCCGCAAGACAGGUGCUGCAUGGCUGUCGUCAGCUCGUGUCGUGAGAUGUUGGGUUAAGUCCCGCAACGAGCGCAACCCUUAUCUUUAGUUACCAUCAUUCAGUUGGGGACUCUAAAGAUACUGCCCCGGUCAACGGGGAGGAAGGUGGGAUGACGUCAAGUCCUCAUGGCCCUUAUGUCCAGGGCUACACACGUGCUACAAUGGGCAGUACAAAGGGUAGCAAGCCUGCGAAGGUGAGCCAAUCUCAAAAAGCUGUUCGUAGUUCGGAUUGGAGUCUGCAACUCGACUCCAUGAAGCUGGAAUCGCUAGUAAUCGCGGAUCAGCAUGCCCGCGGUCGAAUACGUUCCCGGGCCUU